RNAcentral lists this long non-coding RNA (368 nucleotides) under Homo sapiens (human). Its description in RNAcentral is "non-protein coding lnc-SEC61G-7:8". Lineage: Eukaryota; Metazoa; Chordata; Mammalia; Primates; Hominidae. The record is from RNAcentral.
UGGAGAAAUGGUUGGAAGCCAUGGGACGAAUGCCUAGAGUUUUGAAGGAAUGUAGACAAGGUCUCCAGAUUUGCCACCCAUGCUGAGUGCCGUGGUGUGAUCAUGGCUUAUUUCAACCUCAACCUCCCCCACUCAAGCGAUCCUCCUGCCUCAGCCUCUGGAGUAGCUGGGACUACAGGCACGCACCACCACACCCAGCCAUAAUUUGCCUCUUGCUGUAACUAAAAGGUCACAAAAACAAAGAAUUCUAAAAAAUCUUCUUCUUAAGUGGUAUGUUUAGUAUUUAUCAUGAUGACAAUGUUCUAAAUUGCACCUGCCUCCACUAGCAGAAUGCCAGGAUUACUGCCAGACAGAGAAUUCGGACUGCU